Molecule: regulatory RNA element, 114 nt
Organism: Nocardia nova SH22a
Lineage: Bacteria; Bacillati; Actinomycetota; Actinomycetes; Mycobacteriales; Nocardiaceae
Rfam family: atpB RNA
Source: Rfam
UGACGAACUUCGAGCCGACCUGAGUCGACCACCUGAUCGUCAAUGUCCGAUCGAACCGUGGGAUGGAACAUGUCCUACGGCCCGAACACGGGAGAGAAUGCUGAGCGUCACCAC